AUAAUGUUUAUUUUUUUCUCUUCUUUUUAAAUAUAUCUAGAUCUAGAUCUAGAUCUAUAUGAAUAUGAUACGAACAUAAUAGUAACAAAUAUAGAGAAAAUAGCUUGUGAUACGGUAUUACUAAAUAUAAUAUUAAAAUGAAAUUAUUUCAUUGCUUUUUAGUUUUUAUGAUUCAUAUCAGAAGGACCGGAAACAGCAACCCGACCCGGAUGAAAAACAAACAAUAGUCUUGGCUGCAACUCUAGAAUUCUGUGCUUGGCUGGCACAGCCAGUGUAUGCACACAAAAAAAGCACAGAAAAAAGUCCAGAAUUUCGAAAUAGACGCCAAACAUCUCAAAUUUGAAAUGUUGCUUGUCUUAUUUGGGCAAGGAGUCCUCCACAUUGAGGUUAUUUGAACUGUUGCAAGCAAAAUCAGCCCUGUGUAUCCACGAGAAAUACCCCUGUGGACUUCACUCAUGGAAACAGAAAGUCAACAUUGAGGUUAUUCGAACUGUUGCAAGCAAAAUCAGCCCUGUGUAUCCACGAGAAAUACCCCUGUGGACUUUACUCAUGGAAACAGAAAGUCAACAUUGAGGGUAAGCAGCACAGGCCUGUAAAGAGACUCGAUCAGUCUGGCUUUAGCUAGGCUUUGAGGUGAACUCAAAUAGUAUCUUUGCAGUAACUGUGCGUUUUAUUCUAAAAAAAAAGCUCGAAACUAUGAGCAGAGCGCCAGUUUCUGGGAGGAAUUAAAUAAAGCCGUGAUAAAACCUAGGAAUGUGAAAGUCUCAACUAGAGGUACACCGAGCUAGUUGAAUACAGACAUUUUGGAUACUGACUGAAACUUGUUUUUUCUCUUCUUGACAAACGACCAAGAUGAAUUUAGAGUUCCAGGUGUGUUUGCUGCCGUGGAUUCUCUUUGCUCUAUUCUCCCUUUUAGGGUACGUCUUAGAGCCGAUUUUUGGAGAAUGUAGUCCCGUUAUAUACGCAGCUGUGGCUCUUUGGAUGAUUGUUAUAGGCUUUGCGCUGGCUGGAAAAUGUCCACAGGUGAACAG
RNAcentral lists this unclassified non-coding RNA (1031 nucleotides) under Aplysia californica (California sea hare). Its description in RNAcentral is "tigger transposable element-derived protein 4, transcript variant X3". Lineage: Eukaryota; Metazoa; Mollusca; Gastropoda; Aplysiida; Aplysiidae. The record is from RNAcentral.